This 253-nucleotide ribosomal RNA is filed under the name uncultured bacterium. RNAcentral's name for it is "partial 16S ribosomal RNA". It matches the Rfam family "Bacterial small subunit ribosomal RNA", at positions 524 to 776 of the family's 1533-position model. The record is from RNAcentral.
UACGAAGGGGGCUAGCGUUGUUCGGAAUUACUGGGCGUAAAGGGCGCGUAGGCGGUACUUCAAGUCAGGCGUGAAAGCCCCGGGCUCAACCUGGGAACCGCGCUUGAGACUGGAGAACUAGAGUUCGGGAGAGGAUGGUGGAAUUCCCAGUGUAGAGGUGAGAUUCGUAGAUAUUGGGAAGAACACCGAUGGCGAAGGCAGCCAUCUGGACCGACACUGACGCUGAGGCGCGAAAGCGUGGGGAGCAAACAGG